CCCCACAGGCAAUGGGCAAAGAGACACUUGGUUAGUGGUGGCAUUUUUGUGUCAGUCAGGGGCAGAGCAGAUGCCAGUCCUUUGUUCGUCCUAGCUUGAUGCUUGGCGUGGUGGCCAACGCUGUUUACUCCUAAGAGACAUAA
Molecule: small nucleolar RNA, 143 nt
Organism: Rattus norvegicus (Norway rat)
Lineage: Eukaryota; Metazoa; Chordata; Mammalia; Rodentia; Muridae
Product: small nucleolar RNA SNORA48
Source: Ensembl